This 505-nucleotide ribosomal RNA is filed under the name uncultured Rikenellaceae bacterium. RNAcentral describes it as "bacterial SSU rRNA". It matches the Rfam family "Bacterial small subunit ribosomal RNA", at positions 904 to 1382 of the family's 1533-position model. The record is from RNAcentral. Lineage: Bacteria; Pseudomonadati; Bacteroidota; Bacteroidia; Bacteroidales; Rikenellaceae.
UGCGCCUUGCCAGCCCGCUCAGAAACUUAAAGAAUUGACGGGGCCCGCACAAGCGGAGGAACAUGUGGUUUAAUUCGAUGAUACGCGAGGAACCUUACCUGGGCUAGAACGCAUUCGGAAUCAGGCCGAAAGGCCUGCGCCAGCGAUGGCCGCUUGCGAGGUGCUGCAUGGUUGUCGUCAGCUCGUGCCGUGAGGUGUCGGGUUAAGUCCCAUAACGAGCGCAACCCCUACUGCUAGUUGCCAGCGGGUCAUGCCGGGGACUCUAGCGGAACUGCCAGCGUAAGCUGCGAGGAAGGUGGGGAUGACGUCAAAUCAGCACGGCCCUUACGUCCAGGGCUACACACGUGUUACAAUGGCCGGUACAGAGGGCAGCCACCCCGCGAGGGGGCGCGAAUCCCGAAAGCCGGUCCCAGUUCGGAUCGGAGUCUGCAACCCGACUCCGUGAAGCUGGAUUCGCUAGUAAUCGCGCAUCAGCCACGGCGCGGUGAAUACGUUCCCGGGCCUU